Paramisgurnus dabryanus is the source of this 771-nucleotide long non-coding RNA. RefSeq lists it as uncharacterized. NCBI's taxonomy places the organism in Eukaryota, Metazoa, Chordata, Actinopteri, Cypriniformes, Cobitidae. The record is from RefSeq and is a predicted model, not a curated record.
CAAAAAACACUCGGAUUGAAGGCAACAGUUUACUUCCUGGGAUUAGUGACGUAGAUAAGACCAACAUUAUCAUAGUUCAGCCCUCUCUGCUUUGCUUGGGUACGCCCUCAAAGACGAGGGUGGGGUGGGGAGCGCCGAGUCAGAAGAGAGCUAAAAUGGCGGAGGUUGGGAGUCCCUGCUUUGACUCUGUUUGCAAACUCUUGUUUCAUUGUUUAAGCGAUUAAAUCUCUCGAGUAGACGCUGUCUCUUUAGAUGCGAGGGCAAAAUAGCACUUUAUGGACUUCCACAGAGGACAUCAUGUUUAAUACGGUUCCGGAAAAUUCCAGUCAGAAGUUGUUCACGGAGUUUUCACAAUAACUGCUUCUCAUGAACCGAAGCUGGAUUUGCGCGACGUCUCCUCUUGAAAGUUGGAUUACUGUGCACUUCUGGAUCACAGACUAUUCGCAGCUGUACACAUCCUUCUACACUGUAUGCAAACAUGCAACAUCAUAACACACAGUACAAGGAGUCAGACUGGCAUAUGAGGAGCAAAGGAACCCAGGCAGUAGCAUCGUUUCCCAAUGUUUCCAUCAUCAUCAUCAGUGGAUGCCUUUGCCGUCCGUAGCCUGAGAUUUCAGAUUUGCAGCAAAAAAAAUUGAUUUUCUCAUUUAUUGGAAUGCUGUGCAGGUAUUUGUACCUUGCAGCCAUCCAUUACAAUGUCACCAAGCCGUAACAAAAGCAGGAGAGGGAAAGUACAAGGCUAUGUUCCCAAAACACAAAUGACACACCGUA